Molecule: ribosomal RNA, 524 nt
Filed under: uncultured bacterium
Lineage: Bacteria
Description: partial 16S ribosomal RNA
Rfam family: Bacterial small subunit ribosomal RNA
Source: RNAcentral
GAUGAACGCUGGCGGCGUGCCUAAUACAUGCAAGUCGAGCGCAGGAAACUGACGGAACUCUUCGGAGGGAAGGCAGUGGAAUGAGCGGCGGACGGGUGAGUAACACGUAAGGAACCUGCCUCAAGGAUUGGGAUAACUCCGAGAAGUCGGAGCUAAUACCGGAUAGUUCAACGGACCGCAUGGUCCGUUGAUGAAAGGCGCUCCGGCGUCACCUUGAGAUGGCCUUGCGGUGCAUUAGCUAGUUGGUGGGGUAACGGCUCACCAAGGCGACGGUGCAUAGCCGACCUGAGAGGGUGAUCGGCCACACUGGGACUGAGACACGGCCCAGACUCCUACGGGAGGCAGCAGUAGGGAAUCUUCCACAAUGGACGAAAGUCUGAUGGAGCAACGCCGCGUGAGUGAUGAAGGUUUUCGGAUCGUAAAACUCUGUUGUAAGGGAAGAACACGUACGAGAGGAAAUGCUCGUACCUUGACGGUACCUUACGAGAAAGCCACGGCUAACUACGUGCCAGCCGCCGCGGUAA